AUAUACCCUAAAUUGGUCUGAC
RNAcentral lists this small nuclear RNA (22 nucleotides) under Arabidopsis thaliana (thale cress). RNAcentral's name for it is "snRNA_05555". Lineage: Eukaryota; Viridiplantae; Streptophyta; Magnoliopsida; Brassicales; Brassicaceae. The record is from RNAcentral.